Molecule: transfer RNA, 75 nt
Filed under: Fimbriimonadaceae bacterium
Lineage: Bacteria; Bacillati; Armatimonadota; Fimbriimonadia; Fimbriimonadales; Fimbriimonadaceae
Description: tRNA-Met
Rfam family: tRNA
About the family: Transfer RNA (tRNA) molecules are approximately 80 nucleotides in length.
Source: RNAcentral
CGUGGGGUGGCGCAGUGGCAGCGCGGCGGGCUCAUAAUCCGCAGGUCGGAGGUUCGAAUCCUCCCCCCGCAUCCA